Molecule: ribosomal RNA, 465 nt
Filed under: uncultured bacterium
Lineage: Bacteria
Description: partial 16S ribosomal RNA
Rfam family: Bacterial small subunit ribosomal RNA
Source: RNAcentral
GACGAACGCUGGCGGCGUGCUUAACACAUGCAAGUCGAACGGAAAGGCCCCUUUGGGGGUACUCGAGUGGCGAACGGGUGAGUAACACGUGAGUAACCUGCCCUUGACUUCGGGAUAACUUCAGGAAACUGGGGCUAAUACCGGAUAGGAAUCCUUGCUGCAUGGUGGGGGUUGGAAAGCUUCGGCGGUUUUGGAUGGACUCGCGGCUUAUCAGCUUGUUGGUGGGGUAGUGGCUUACCAAGGCUUUGACGGGUAGCCGGCCUGAGAGGGCGACCGGCCACAUUGGGACUGAGAUACGGCCCAGGCUCCUACGGGAGGCAGCAGUGGGGAAUAUUGCACAAUGGGCGGAAGCCGGAUGCAGCAACGCCGCGUGCGGGAUGACGGCCUUCGGGUUGUAAACCGCUUUCAGCAGGGGCGAAGCUUGUGGUGACGGUACCUGCAGAAGAAGCACCGGCUAACUACGUG